AACGAACGCUGGCGGCAUGCCUAACACAUGCAAGUCGAACGAGACCUUCGGGUCUAGUGGCGCAUGGGUGCGUAACGCGUGGGAACCUGCCCUUAGGUUCGGAAUAACUCCCCAAAAGGGGUGCUAAUACCGGUUAAUGUCUUCGGACCAAAGAUUUAUCGCCUUUGGAUGGGCCCGCGUGGGAUUAGCCAGUUGGUAGGGUAAAAGCCUACCAAGGCGACGAUCCAUAGCUGGUCUGAGAGGAUGACCAGCCACACUGGGACUGAGACACGGCCCAGACUCCUACGGAGAGCAGCAGUGGGGAAUAUUAGCCGAUGGGCGAGAGCCUGAUACAGCAAUGCCGCGUGAGUGAUGAAGGUCUUAGGGUUGUAAAGCUCUUUUACCCGGGAUGAUAAUGACAGUACCGGGAGAAUAAGCUCCGGCUAACUACGUG
RNAcentral lists this ribosomal RNA (433 nucleotides) under uncultured bacterium. RNAcentral's name for it is "partial 16S ribosomal RNA". It matches the Rfam family "Bacterial small subunit ribosomal RNA", at positions 29 to 507 of the family's 1533-position model. The record is from RNAcentral.